RNAcentral lists this ribosomal RNA (497 nucleotides) under uncultured bacterium. RNAcentral's name for it is "partial 16S ribosomal RNA". It matches the Rfam family "Bacterial small subunit ribosomal RNA", at positions 28 to 507 of the family's 1533-position model. The record is from RNAcentral.
GAUGAACGCUGGCGGCGUGCCUAAUACAUGCAAGUCGAGCGAACAGACGAGGAGCUUGCUCCUCUGACGUUAGCGGCGGACGGGUGAGUAACACGUGGAUAACCUACCUAUAAGACUGGGAUAACUUCGGGAAACCGGAGCUAAUACAGGAUAAUAUAUUGAACCGUAUGGUUCAAUAGUGAAAGACGGUUUUGCUGUCACUUAUAGAUGGAUCCGCGCCGCAUUAGCUAGUUGGUAAGGUAACGGCUUACCAAGGCAACGAUGCGUAGCCGACCUGAGAGGGUGAUCGGCCACCCUGGAACUGAGACACGGUCCAGACUCCUACGGGAGGCAGCAGUAGGGAAUCUUCCGCAAAGGGCGAAAGCCUGACGGAGCAACGCCGCGUGAGUGAUGAAGGUCUUCGGAUCGUAAAACUCUGUUAUUAGGGAAGAACAAAUGUGUAAGUAACUAUGCACGUCUUGACGGUACCUAAUCAGAAAGCCACGGCUAACUACGUG